UAGGGAAUCUUCGGCAAUGGACGAAAGUCUGACCGAGCAACGCCGCGUGAGUGAAGAAGGUUUUCGGAUCGUAAAACUCUGUUGUUAGAGAAGAACAAGGACGUUAGUAACUGAACGUCCCCUGACGGUAUCUAACCAGAAAGCCACGGCUAACUACGUGCCAGCAGCUGCGGUAAUACGUAGGUGGCAAGCGUUGUCCGGAUUUAUUGGGCGUAAAGCGAGCGCAGGCGGUUUCUUAAGUCUGAUGUGAAAGCCCCCGGCUCAACCGGGGAAGGUCAUUGGAAACUGGGAGACUUGAGUGCAGAAGAGGAGAGUGGAAUUCCAUGUGUAGCGGUGAAAUGCGUAGAUAUAUGGAGGAACACCAGUGGCGAAGGCGGCUCUCUGGUCUGUAACUGACGCUGAGGCUCGAAAGCGUGGGGAGCAAACAGG
This 429-nucleotide ribosomal RNA is filed under the name Gemmatimonadota bacterium. RNAcentral describes it as "Gemmatimonadetes bacterium partial 16S ribosomal RNA". It matches the Rfam family "Bacterial small subunit ribosomal RNA", at positions 355 to 776 of the family's 1533-position model. The record is from RNAcentral. Lineage: Bacteria; Pseudomonadati; Gemmatimonadota.